RNAcentral lists this transfer RNA (74 nucleotides) under Candidatus Coprenecus pullicola. RNAcentral describes it as "tRNA-Arg". It matches the Rfam family "tRNA". From Rfam's summary of the family: Transfer RNA (tRNA) molecules are approximately 80 nucleotides in length. Their secondary structure includes four short double-helical elements and three loops (D, anti-codon, and T loops). The record is from RNAcentral. Lineage: Bacteria; Pseudomonadati; Bacteroidota; Bacteroidia; Bacteroidales; Rikenellaceae.
GGCCUCGUAGCUCAACUGAAUAGAGCAUCUGACUACGGAUCAGAAGGUUGUGGGUUUGAAUCCCGCCGGGGUCA